Clupea harengus (Atlantic herring) is the source of this 438-nucleotide long non-coding RNA. Lineage: Eukaryota; Metazoa; Chordata; Actinopteri; Clupeiformes; Clupeidae. The record is from Ensembl.
ACAGCCGGCAAUGAAGACCCUGUUGGCUCUCUUGCUAUGGUGCAUCAUCUGCCCUGAUGGCAAUGCUGAAGACAAUACAUGCUUCCCAGAGGUUCGUGUCAAGAGGAAUACUGUUUGGAAGGUUCUAGAGAUGAGCACCCUAAAACUCAGCUGCCCUGUGAAAUACUGUGACAAGCAACCUGUUAUCACAUGGUGCAAACUGGUGGACGUGGAGAACUGCACACCACUGGCUGAAAAUCCUAAUGUUAAAAUAUGGCAGCAUGUGCCAGUCAACACUGAAGGAAAUCUCACUAUAUCCUAUAUGGUGAUCCAAAAGAUAACAAAGUACGACAGUGGUUUAUAUAGAUGUGGUGCUUUUGACAGCACUGCUGGACAUUCAAUCACUGUUAAUGUCACUGGUGUUGACCAAUUGGAAAACACAACCUACAACACAGGUAA